GACGUAGGGGGCGAGCGUUGUCCGGAUUUAUUGGGCGUAAAGAGCUCGUAGGCGGCUUGUCGCGUCGUCCGUGAAAACUUGGGGCUCAACCCCAAGCUUGCGGUCGAUACGGGCAGGCUAGAGUUCGGUAGGGGAGACUGGAAUUCCUGGUGUAGCGGUGAAAUGCGCAGAUAUCAGGAGGAACACCGGUGGCGAAGGCGGGUCUCUGGGCCGAUACUGACGCUGAGGAGCGAAAGCGUGGGGAGCGAACAGG
Molecule: ribosomal RNA, 253 nt
Filed under: uncultured bacterium
Lineage: Bacteria
Description: partial 16S ribosomal RNA
Rfam family: Bacterial small subunit ribosomal RNA
Source: RNAcentral